CAACCUAGGUCAAGCUGUAUGCCUGUACAAGAAAUCCUUCAGCAGUCGCCGCCUAUGCCACAUUAGAAUGGCAUUAACCUUGGUGACCAUUGUGGCCCUGCUGACCUUUUCUGUGUGUAUGACCAUCAGCUUCUUCCAGCUAUGUACUGGCCGAUGUGAAGAGAUCUACACCAGGACAGGCAUGGUGGUCGAGUGGACUGGAUUUGUUGGCCUGAUAAUAUACCAACUAAUGAACUAUACAGAUUUCC
Long non-coding RNA from Bufo gargarizans (Asiatic toad), 248 nucleotides. RefSeq lists it as uncharacterized. The transcript has 3 exons. NCBI's taxonomy places the organism in Eukaryota, Metazoa, Chordata, Amphibia, Anura, Bufonidae. The record is from RefSeq and is a predicted model, not a curated record.